UUCUUACAAAAAAAACCCCAAAAUUCUUCAUAGAUUUAAGAGAACUAAAUUUACUAGACUUUAGUUUAUGGAUAACCAAAGAAAUACUCUUCUUAAUUGGACUUACUUCUGUCAAGGCAAGGGCAUGGAUGAGCUAAGUCAGACACUGUUGCUGACAACAAUGGAGCUGGAGAACACAAGGUUGAAAGCUCAAGAAGAGCUAAAAAUCAGAGAAGAUGAAAUAAACCAGCUUAAAGAUUUGUUAAACAGAACCAUCAAUGAGAAAAAUGAAGCUCAAGAGAAAUGCCAAAAACUAAUCUUGGAAAAACUCAUGUUUCAACAGCAGCAACAACAACAACAUCAUCUGGUGUUUCAACAAACAGGUCCAUUAUCUGGUGUUUCAAGCAUUGAAGAUGAACCAAUACUAAACAGAUCAUUUUCAUCUUCAGAUUGUGAUGAAAGCAUUGUUUCAUCCCCACAAGAAAAAGAUCAACAACAACAACAAGAUUUGCCUAUUCUUAUAGACAAACCAUUGCCUGAAAAUGGAAAAUUUUUACAAGCUGUUAUGCAAGCAGGACCACUUUUACAAACACUCCUUCUUGCUGGUCCUUUACCUCAAUGGCGCCACCCCCCACCCCCAAUGGACACCUAUGAAAUCCCACCACCCCCUGUGGUUAUUCCAUGUCAAGAUCCAAUUUUUAAUGUUUUUAACAACUGUGGAAGACUAAACAAGAAAAGGGGUAGUGGUGUUCUUUUUGAUGAUUCUAACAUUGGAAACAAAUACCAAAGGGUUGUGCUUUGAGUUUCCAAAUGAAAAAAAACAAAACAAACAAUUUUUAGUACUAGUAAGAAAAAAAAAGAACUGAUUUUAGAAAUUUUUGUACAAAAUUGAAGAGGUUUGGUUUAGGAAAGUGAGUGAGGGGAAAGAAGAAAAAGAUUAUUGUUUUGAGCUAUUUUUAGUUUUUUUUUCUUCUUUUUUUUGGGUUUGGUUAGUAAUAGUAUGUUGGUUGGAUUGUCUCUUUCCUUCAAUAUUAUUAUAAUCAUUUAGAGUUUG
RNAcentral lists this unclassified non-coding RNA (1033 nucleotides) under Hevea brasiliensis (rubber tree). Lineage: Eukaryota; Viridiplantae; Streptophyta; Magnoliopsida; Malpighiales; Euphorbiaceae. The record is from RNAcentral.